RNAcentral lists this ribosomal RNA (835 nucleotides) under uncultured bacterium. RNAcentral's name for it is "bacterial SSU rRNA". It matches the Rfam family "Bacterial small subunit ribosomal RNA", at positions 31 to 916 of the family's 1533-position model. The record is from RNAcentral.
CAACGAUGGCGGAGGCCUAACACAUGCAAGUCGAGCGCACCUUCGGGUGAGCGGCGGACGGGUUAGUAACGCGUGGGAACGUGCCCUUCUCUAAGGAAUAGCCACUGGAAACGGUGAGUAAUACCUUAUACGCCCUUCGGGGGAAAGAUUUAUCGGAGAAGGAUCGGCCCGCGUUAGAUUAGAUAGUUGGUGGGGUAACGGCCUACCAAGUCUACGAUCUAUAGCUGGUUUUAGAGGAUGAUCAGCAACACUGGGACUGAGACACGGCCCAGACUCCUACGGGAGGCAGCAGUGGGGAAUCUUGGACAAUGGGCGCAAGCCUGAUCCAGCCAUGCCGCGUGAGUGAUGAAGGCCUUAGGGUCGUAAAGCUCUUUCGCCAGGGAUGAUAAUGACAGUACCUGGUAAAGAAACCCCGGCUAACUCCGUGCCAGCAGCCGCGGUAAUACGGAGGGGGUUAGCGUUGUUCGGAAUUACUGGGCGUAAAGCGUACGUAGGCGGAUUAGUCAGUCAGAGGUGAAAUCCCAGGGCUCAACCCUGGAACUGCCUUUGAUACUGCUAGUCUUGAGUUCGAGAGAGGUGAGUGGAAUUCCGAGUGUAGAGGUGAAAUUCGUAGAUAUUCGGAGGAACACCAGUGGCGAAGGCGGCUCACUGGCUCGAUACUGACGCUGAGGUACGAAAGUGUGGGGAGCAAACAGGAUUAGAUACCCUGGUAGUCCACACCGUAAACGAUGAAUGCCAGUCGUCGGAUAGCAUGCUAUUCGGUGACACACCAUAACGGAUUAGCAUUCCGCAUGGGGAGUACAGUCGCAAGAUUAGGACUCACAGGAAUUGACGG